RNAcentral lists this long non-coding RNA (366 nucleotides) under Phoenix dactylifera (date palm). Its description in RNAcentral is "long non-coding RNA (PDAC_LNC007002)". The record is from RNAcentral. Lineage: Eukaryota; Viridiplantae; Streptophyta; Magnoliopsida; Arecales; Arecaceae.
UCGCACCUCAGCCUGGUUUCACAUCAUUUAAGAGCUCCAUCGUGAAUUCCUCAUCCCAACAAAGCAUCCCAGCCCGGUUCUCCUCUUCCCGAAAAGGACUCCAAUACAGCCCAACCGAAGCAAUUGAAGACAUUCCAGCCUGCAGCCGGUUCUCCCCGAUUCAGCCAACGAAGGAUAUUCGAAAUGAUGCUGUGAAGAGUCCCCAUUUCCCAUCGGAAUUUCCCUUGCAGUUCCAGCCGAAGAAGAUGAAGAGGAAGUUCAGCCUUUUUCCUCCUUUCCCGAAGCAAGAACCCAGCCGGUUCUUCUCCCAGGUUCUUCCCUUCCCGCAGAAGCUCCCAAACCGAAGAAAACCCACCCGGUUCCAAG